UUUUGGGUUACCUUUGUAUGAUUUUUAAUUUCUUAUACACCUUGUAAAGGGAUUGUAACUGAUUAUUUUAUUUCAUUUUAACUUUUUUUAAAAAUAAAAUAAAAAAUGAAGUAGUGUGAGUCACAUUAUUUAAAUUAAGAUAGCUCAACACCUGCAUUUUAAGGAAUAAAAAAUAUUUUAUAAAUGAGUAACAUCUAACAUGACAAUUUUGUAGAUUUAAGCUAUUAAAUAAUUUAAAUAAAGUCAUAAUUUAUCAAAAAUCUAUUGAGUUAUAAGCUAUCACAAAACUCUAGUUAUUUAGAUAUUCAAUCAUAGAAACGGGAAAUGUGUUGAGAGUUCAAUUUUUUUUUGAACAAGCAAAAAUUGAUAUAUUAACACUGUUAUACCAGUCUCCUCAGCACAAGAUGUGCCAAAAAUACUACUAAAAAAACAAGCAGUUCACACAAGAUAUAAAAAGUGUCUAUUCAAUGUCUAAACACGACAAAAGACUCGACCACCACAAAUGUUCACCAAAUACAAAGCUAGCCUUUUUGGCUUUCAACCACCACAAAGAAUAAUAUUUUACUUUGUCUAGUAGUUGAUCUAUAGAGUAUUCUUUCUGUUUAAAUAAUCUAUUGUUUUGUUCAUUCCAUAAAAUCCAAGCGGUAAGAAGCCAAAUCAGCUGAAGAAAAGACCUCUGCGAUUUCAAACCACCUGUAUAAUUAGUAAAAUGAAUAAAGUGAUCUGAAAUAUCUUGAUGGUCGACACCAUCAAAACCAAUCCAAGACCUCAAUAAAGGCCACAAUGACCCAAAUCAAGUACACAACAAAAACAAGUGACGACCAUCCUCCACCUGACCGCAUCCAGAAACACACAAACACGCAUUUGCAUCAAUUACACCACACGCCACCAAAUUAAAUUUAGUAGGAAGGCGAUCAUGGAGCAACCGCCAAGCAAAAAUAAACACUUUUAGGGGAACCUGCUUGUGCCAAAUUAAAUCGACAUCAUGCAAAACCUGUGGAUGAUAUAUAGAUAAUAGAUAGUAGAUACAUAUGUCUUGAAAAGGUGAUUAUAAGAGAAAUUUAUCCCUCAUCUUAUAAACCAAUUCUGUAGGGUUGUGUUACAUCAAACUAAAAUUGUAAAACAUGUAAAUUAUAGAAAUCAAUUGAGAUCUAUAAUCUAUGAACCAAUUAAAAUGUGUCAAGAAAACGUGUAUUUAAAAAAAGGAGAUAAAAUGACAACUUUGAAAUCUAUAAUCUAUGAACCAAUUGAAAUAAAAAAAACAGGAUUAAUAGAAAAGAACAUCGCAUUACACAAAUACUUGGAGCUACUAUUAAUUCCGUGUGAAAGAUAACGAGAGUUAUUUUAUUUAUUUAUUACUAGAUAAAGUGUUUUAAACCAAGAAGAUAGUGUUUUAAACCAAGAAUAUUCCUUUUAAAAAAAAUAACCCAAGAAUAUUCCAAUAUAUAUCAAAUAUACUACUAAUAACUACGGUUCAAUGAAUUUUAUCACGAAUUAUUAUAUUUUAAAGUUCAAUGAAUUUUUAUGGUGAAAUAUGAACACAUGACCUUUUUAAAUAUUUUAUCAUAUUGUAAGAAUUAAAUUCAGAUUAGAUUUGCUUCAAAAAUAUUAGAUUGUUUGAGCGAUUGAUUAACCCAUCAAGUUUAUUUAUGUGACUUAAUUCGACUAGAUUCAUUUUUAAGAAAAUAAAUCAACUAAGUCACGCUAACUUCAUCCAAAAAAAAGAGCAUUUGUACUAAAGGAAAUAAUAUCGAUAUUUUCACGUUGAAUAUAUUUUCAAAGGUGACUAGUUCGAAUCGGAAAUAGAGUUGUGUUAUCUAGUUCGAAUCUAAAAUAGAAUUGUGUUAUUUGAACAACCAUUUGGAUGAUAACUUUUGUGAUAAUCAUAAAUUUACAAAGAAAAUAAGGUAUUGACACAAUAAGCAAAGUAACAGAGAGAAAGUAAAAAUAUAAUGUGAGUAUAAAAAAGAAAAUAGUCACAAAAGUUGUUAAAAAAUGGUUGUACAAAUAUCAUUUUCAUCCAAAUAUAGCUAGUAAGGGACUUUGACCCUUUAAGCAAGUGAUUCACUUUUGGAUCAUUGACUCUUGCCUAUAGAGAAAAUUUGGUUGAAAGAGAAAAAUCCACCUUAUUACCCCAAAGGUUCCCCACCCAGACCCUGAAUAAUGUAUAUGGGAAAACAUUUGUUGAAAGAUGUCAAACUUUUAAAUGAAUUCAAAUUACCUUAAGGAGAUUAUAAUUCAUACAAUUGCACGUGAAGAAUACAAUUUUAUUUAAAAAAGAAAAUAUAUUAAAAUAAUGUAAAAAAAAAUACUCAAACCCAUUACAAAGAGAUAACAUGACAUGAUAGGGUCAAACUCCACCCAAGAGUCCAAAAUCCAAACCAAGAAUAACACAACAAAACAAAGCCCUAAACCAUAAAAAAAAAUAUAUAAAAAGUUAAGAUAUUCCUAAUUGCAUGACAGGUUAAAGUAUAACCCCGCCAAUUAGCGAACAAGAUAAAUGAUAACCCCUACAAAUAGCCAUUUGACCAACCAAGGACUAUCUCAACAAACAAUGUAGGGUUGCAUUGCCCACUUUUAGAAAGUGCAAGUGGACCCCAGUGUUUUUUACCCAAAAACUCAUUUGAAGAAGAUAAUUUAAUUCAAUUCACCAAUUGCUUAAAUGGGAUAAACUUAUUAGAGAAAAUAAUGUUACUUCGUGACUUCCAAUGUGAAACUAACUCCAAACAAAGUUUUUAGUUGAGAACCAAUUAACUCCAAAGAAAAAAAAAGGAGAAUAAUCGAAAUAAGGUAGGAGAUAUGACUCGCUCCGACCUAAACCAUCACAUAAUUUUAUACCAUACUUUGUGGUGAUAAGUCAUAGGUAACAAAAAGACAUCGAUCUGAAUCUUGAGUCUUGAUUGAUGCUACAAAAAACACACACCAAACUUUCAACAUCUCUAUAUGAUUGGACAUAGAAGAGUUUGGUGAGUACGUUGGAGCCAUAUCGAACACUUAUGGUUGGAAGAUCAAUGACCUUAUUUCAGGGCCAACUCUUCCAAACACAAAAAUAAAAUAUGAAGCUCAUCAUCUGAAAAGAGCUCAAUCUGAGGCCGAGUAGCUCAUAGGGACAUGUAGACAGAAAUCACCGAAUAUAUUGACUCAAGGGAUAAUUCACUUGAGCCCUAAUUUACUCGGAUAGGAUCACAAGUUUUAAAUUUAUAGUCAAGACCUAUAAAGAUAGUCAAGUCUAAGUAUGGUGUUUCAAAAAAAAAACUUUUGCUUCUAAAAAAUAAAUAAAUUAGGGCAUUGUCCUAGGUCAACCUCCAUCCUAAAAUACAUUUUAUUCGGAUAUAAUUUUGAAAAGUUAAAUGUCAAUUAUAUAAGAUUUCAAUGCAUAUUUUAACUUUUUUAGCAAUGAAAUAUUGAACCUGUAAUAUGAAACGUUUGAUCUUGAUUCAAUGAUCACUUUCAUACUAACCUGCAUGAAUGUGGAUAGAAUUUCACUCCUUAUGGUGAACAUGUGAAAAAUAUGAGGUUUAAACUCUAGCCCCUGUAUAUUGCACUGUAUCUACAAACUGAACUAUGAUUACAAAGACAAUUAAAAUGAAAUUUAAAGAACAAAUAUAAAUAUAUAAUUUGACUGAAUGAUUCUGAAGAGAUAAAAGUAAAAUAAGAAAUAAAGGUAGAAAUGUGUAAAUACAAAAGUUGAAUGAUAUCUAGCUUACAUCAAUUAAUUUAAGAUUUAUUUUGAAUUAACUUUUUUGGUUAAACUUUUGAGUCACUAUUUAAUUUAUAUUUGUGUUUUGUACAACAUUAUUUAUUUUAUAUUACUAUAUCGGUUUUGAUAUAAAUGCAUGAUAGAAAUUUCUUUCUGUUGAGAGGAGCAAUUUCUUGAUUAGUCAAACCAUAUAUAAUCAUGAUAAUUAUAUUUUUCUCAUGUUCCUAUUUUUAGGAUUAUGAUGACAUGAAGUGAUGAAAUAUAUCAAUUUUAAAAUUUAUCCUUACUAAUUUAUUACACAAUAUUAAUUUUUGUUGAAGGAAUAUUAAAUAUUAAAUAUUAACUAUAUUUCCCCAUAAUCACGAAGUUGAUUGGAAAUUUGCCACAUGUUUGCAUGUUUUUGAUUCCUCAAUCCAUUCACGUAAUAUUGAUUACCAAUGUAAAAGAUUUGGUUAAUAUGAAUGCAUGCAAGAGAUUUUAUGGCAAAUAUGAUAGAAACUUAAUUUAACUUUUCACCUAUCAUAUUUACGAAUCUGUCAAAUUUGUUUUACAGCGAUUCUUCUUUAACAGAUAAGGGUUGAAUUUGUGGUGACAUCAACUUAUCAGAAUCAGGAUCAGAAAUGGAAUAAAAUUUUGAAACUUAUGUUUUUUUCUUUUUUGAAGAAUUUUGAAACUUAGUUAUGCUGCUCAAAUGUCACUUUUUCUUUAACAAAAGUUUAGAUGAGUUGGUCUCGAAAAAAAUUAAGAUAAAAUUCAAAGCUCAAAGAGUGUUGAUAGUCCAAAAUGUCAUUUUUCAAAUAGAAGUUAAAUUUUAUAGAUGCUAAAAUAAUAUAUUUAGCCUUAAAUUUUAUAUUUCAAUUGAGUUCGAAUAUCUUUUACCUUGAACUGAGAUAUCAUCCCAUCACCCCAAAUUUUUGUAACAACAUUAUAUGAUAUAUUAUAAUAUAUCGUACAUUAAUAUUAAAAAAAUUGUAUUGUUUUUUUUACUCAAAAAUAAUAUAUUAGAGAAAUCAAGUUCCAUGUAGGUAAAUAUAAGCGUUGAUUAAAGUUUAUAAUAACUGUGUAUCUCAAUCUACAAGCUGAUUUUGUAAGAUUAAGUUAGAUCAAAUAUAAAAUUUAAAAUGAUAUCAAAAUUUAUCGAUUCAUAUCAGCUACCAUUUAUAAGGUUGACUGCACAUCUCAUCUGGGUCGUAUGAAAACAAUGACCUCAAAUGAGGUUAAUAAAAUGAGUUUGAAAUACUAUUUUUUUUCUUUUUCUGGUAGAUGAAAUACUAUUUUUAUUAUCAUCUAACUAGUUGAAAAAUUGUAUUUUCAAAAAAUUCUAAAUUUUCAAACCUGAAAUCUAUUUUCAUUAUUUUGUGGAGGUUAAAAUUAUGGAGGGAAUAGCACUACUCCCUUAUUAAGAGUGAGUUACUUGAAUUCUUGUGUCCCACGAUAUGUCCUUUUAGAGGGUCAAAUGAUUGUUUACUUAAGCAAGCAGCUUAUAAGUGGGAAUGCCUUCAUUAUCACAAAGAAUAACUUAUUGGAAAAUAUUAUUUAAUUGCAAUAUUUAAAAAUACCUACAAUUUGUUCUUAUUCGCCACGAAACAUGGGAACAUGAUAAAAAUGACAAAAUUGUCACAAAGGGGACCCUCAAAAGAAUUAAGGAGAGAAUUAAUCAGACUGAAAACUACAUUAAUAUUAUAAUAUAAUUUCAGUGGGUCCAUUUAUUAUUUUACGUACCAAAGAAAAUCCAAAACAGGAUUAUAUAUCAUAGAAAAUUAAAUAAUAAUUACGUUAGAAGGUUGCCUUGUCAUUUUGUACUUGUCUUUGAUUUGUUGAAGAUUAGAUGAACAGUUUAUGAACAUCAUCAAAGUGUGAAAAUGGAAUAAUAUCACAAUAUAAUAUUUAAUUAAUUAGAAAGCUACUAGUUUUGUAGUCUCUUCUAAUCCUAAAUUAUGUCAUUCACAUAUAACAAUAUAUAUAUAUUGGGUGAGGAUGUAAAGAAUUAUACAUCGAAGAGUUUACUUUUGCUUGACUUGAGUAACAUCCUCCUUAAAUAACUUCUUGUCAUAAGUUGUCACCACCAAAGUCAUCUUGAUUUUCAUCCAAAUUUCACUCUAUUUUCAUUUGGAGGCAAAAGCUUUGGAAACAUACAGCUUCUUGGAAGGCAUAUAGUGGUCUUGAGCAAAGAAAAUUUUACACACACUGUGAGUUAUAGCAUAUAUCUUAAAACUUCUUUAAGAGCUUUUAACUUCUACUCUCUCUCUCUCACACACACAUUUAUUGUAUUUGAGAAUAAUAUAUUAAAAAUGAGUUUGAUUUUCCAAAGAUUGCAAAGUUAAAACUUUGUUUUGUUUCCAUGAAUUUGGAUUAUCUUCAUAUAAGUGAUUUUAAUUAGUACAUAUAUACAUUCAACAAGUUGAAAUUGUUUGGAUCAAGAUGAGCCGAUUCUGAUUUUAAGCUCGCAAAAUUAGCUUUAAAAGAAAACUCGAGAUGAAAGAUGUAUAAUUUUAAACCAACGACUCAGAGCAAGAGACAUAUGUACAUGAAUUAAAUAAGUGUUGGCCCCACAACGAUGUGAGAGAGAAAAAUUAUUAAAUGUUUGUUUGGGCACAUACACAUAUAAAUGUAUUUUUGAUUGUGUUAAAAAUAUUUUAAUUUAUAAAUACGAUAAUUUUUCAAUUUUAAACUAUCUUCAAUAUUUGAAUGUAUAAUAUAAUUUUGCAAUAUUCUAUUUUUUAAUUAAUGAUAAUGAUGAUGUCGUCAUAUUAAUUUUAUUUCUUAUAAUUUAAUGCAUUUUUAUAUAAAUAUUUAUAAAAUAUAAAUUUGCCACAUUAAAAAAAUUAUAUAUUCCUCCUAUGAUCUAUGUUGGUCACAAUGUGAACGCUUGAAAUCUUUGAUAACAAAUAAAUGUUGGCUGAUUUUAAUCCAACGACUCUGAAUCACUAACUUGUAAGUGAGUAAAAUCUUGAUUGAGACAAAUUUAAAUUCGUGUUUCCAUGCACAUGCAAAGAGUAUAACCAACUAAAUAUAUAUAAUAAUGUCUCAUAUUUAAUUAUCACUAACUAACCUCAAACUUCUUGCAGAUUCCAUAGAAAUAUUGACAUCUUGAAAUCACUUUCUAUCUAUUCAUUUGGUACUUGAACAAUAUGGAGGAAAGAACUGAGAUGGAUAUUAAUAAGGUUGAUGAUUUGAUGCCUGGCUUUCGUUUUCAUCCCACAGAUGAAGAGCUUGUUGGUUUUUACCUCAAGAGAAAAAUUCAGCAAAAAUCUCUUCCUAUUGAACUUAUUAAGCAAGUGGAUAUUUACAAACAUGAUCCAUGGGACCUUCCAAGUAAGAAUUUGUAUAACACAAACUCACUAUUUUUUAGCUUUCUCAUGUUUUAGCAUAAAACCCAUUUUCCUUUUUCUAGUGAGUGAACACAACAUUAUAAAUAUUAAGGUUAUUUUUAAUUGAAAAAAAAACAGGGUAUUUUUAGUCUCUUUGUAGGGACCAAAAAGGACUACGUUUUAAUUUUAUUUUUAUUUUUAUAAAAGAUGAAUAUUAAAAUGGAUUUUUUUUUUAUAAAUUCGUAAUUUUUAGGAUUACAAACAUAUUACCCUAAAUACUUUUUAACAAGAAGACGGAAGACUCAUCGUAGUAAAUAAUUAUGAUAGAGAUAAGAUAGAAUGAUAACCACGGAGAAUGAUUUUUCAGAAACAAUGAAAACGAUAUUUUGAUAUUUUUAAAUUUUAUAAAAUUAUUGAAUCAGUUUAUAAAAACUAUACAAAAAAAAAAUGACAAGAGAAUAAUUGAACCUAUAUAUUCUAUCUUAUUUACCAAUUAAAUUGAAAAUAUAAAAUAUGAAACUAUUUUAUUGACCAAAAAAUAUUGACUUCAUUUUAUUUUUGUAAACAAGAAGAGCUAGCAAGUAGUGGUGAAAAAGAAUGGUAUUUCUAUUGUCCAAGGGACAGAAAAUAUAGAAACAGUUCAAGACCUAAUAGAGUUACAAGAGCUGGAUUUUGGAAGGCAACUGGAACUGAUAGACCUAUAUACUCAUCAGAUGGAAAAUGCAUUGGUUUGAAGAAGUCACUUGUCUUCUAUAAGGGUAGAGCUGCCAAAGGGAUGAAAACUGAUUGGAUGAUGCAUGAGUUUAGGCUACCUUGCAUUUCAGAUUCAAACUCUCCUCCUAAAAAGUUUUCAGAUAAAAGUUUCUCUCCAAAUGUAAGUAUUUUAGUUAUUUCAUACUACUCACCUCAUUUUUACUAUUUAAUAUAUUUUUACCAGGUAAUUUUAUUGUAGAAUAUUAUAAGUCAAAAUUAGGUUUAAGUUACACCAUUGAAUAAAUUUUCUUGAUAUACUAACAUACAUGCAUUAAUCUAAAAUGAUUCAAUAUAGUAUAAAAUUUUAGAGUGGUGCAAAUGAUAGAAGAUGAUUUGGGGUACCAACCUAAUUGAAAUGUCUUUUCCUCGGUGCGCUCUAUUUUUUGCUUAUAAAAAAAAAUAUAGCAUGAAAAAGUACAAUCAAAUUUUAUUUCUAAUUUUUACAUUUAAAUUAAAUGAAAUAAAUACAUUUUAGCUAAUGUUAUUAAAUGAACAUUGUUAAGUUUUGUUUUGGCAAAAACCAACUCCUCUUCAUUUUGAUAUUCUUCUACUAAUUUUUUGGUUUAGUCCUAUACUAAACUAAUUAGUUCUUUAUGAAUUUUUCAGGAUUCAUGGGCAAUAUGUAGGAUCUUCAAGAAAACCAAUUCCCUUUCCAUGGUACAAAAAGCAUUGUCUCACCCUUGGAUCUCCCAAUUACCAGGAAGUAUGGUUAGUGAAUUACUCACACAAACAACAAACAUCAACCAAUUCUGUUCAGAAAAUAAUAUCUCAUGCACAACAAUAGAACAAGGAUCAUCAGCAGGAACAAACUUACAAAUGUAAGUGUUGGUGGUUUUCAUUAUCAUUUUUUUUGUACUACUAUAAUAUCUAUUUUACUUAUUUAUUAUACAAAGAAUUAGAUGCAAAAUCAAAUGAGAAAUGAAUUGUUGAAUAAUUAUUUAGUUUCUUGUAUGAGAAGAAAUAUUUUUAUUGACACUUAAAUAAGAAGAUCAUCAAUAUUUUCAUAAUAUGAAAAAUCGUAAAUAACAAUUUUGAUGUAUAUUCAAAAAUAAAAUAUUAAGUGAUUGCAAACUUACUCUAAAACUCUUUUUUUAACACUUAUUUUUUAUUCGGUAAAACUCAUGUGGUCCCACUAUUUUGAAUAUGGACCUACAAAAAAUUAUGGGAAAUUUGACCCAAUAAGAGAGUUACUAUCGGAAAAAUAGCGUUAGAGUAUUGCUAACACUACUCGCUACAAAUUUAUAUAACCAUGUGCCUAAUAAUUAUCCAUUCAAUUUUGUAGCAACAAGCAUGAUAUACAACAAGUCUCCAAUACCAUCAACAAUUUCUCAGCUUCAGAUUUUCCAAAUUACAAACCAAUCAACAACAUCAACACAAUUUCCAAAUCCUCACAAAUUCAGGUUCCUAAUGGAGACAUUAUUGAUAACCUAAUGUUCUACACACUUGACGCCAAUGGUUCCACAAAGUGCACAAUUGAUGAUAGUUCAAUUCUUUCCAACACUAACUAUAUUGGUUUUGAAGAUGCAAAUAAUCAAUAUAAUGGCUUCUCAAUUAGUUUACCUCAAGAUAUGCAACCAAACAUUGUGAAUAUUCAAGAUCAAAUGCAGCUUAAUCAAUGGGAAAAUCUUGGAAGAACAAUUGAAUUUCCAUUCAAUUUGUCUCCAAGUUUUGAUGCUUUGAGGACAAGUGUUACAUGGGACUCACCACCUUGCACCAGUGAAAUGUCCACAACCUUUGUCACUAGUAAAUGUUACACUUAGGAUAAUGUGUUUGGAUUUAUGUGUCAAAUUAAUGUACCAAACAUAUACUUAAAACCAAAUUGGGGACAAUUUAUAGGGGUAGUUAGGUACUGGUUAUAGCAAGCUAUAGUUAUAGUGUGGUUGAUUAUCAUUUUUACCAAUUAGUAUAUUUACCAAUAAAAUCAUUACCAUUUUAAUUGGUUGUGAUUUUACUUGUAAAUGUACAUGUUUUAUUUGUUUAUAUGUACAUUAAAACCAGUACUACCCUGCAGGAACAUAGAAAAAGAAUACCAAAUGUAUAAUAGGGGUGUAGUGUUUAUAUAUGAUAAGGUCAUGUACAAAGAAUAGAUACAAAAAUAUUUCCAAGGGCUUAGCAAAAAAUUUGUUGUAUUUUAAUUAGGGUUUUUAUUUAUAUUAUCUUCAUGUAAGAUAUCUAGUUAUAUAGUUUGCUACGUUCAUAUAAUAAUUUUUUUUUUUUUUUGAUUUUAUGCUUGUUUUAUUAUUUACAUAGAUAUAUAUAUCUUAUUUCAUUUUCCUUGUCACAAAUCUUAAUGACAUAUAGCUACUAAAUCAAGUAUAAAUCUUUUAGGAGUGAUGGAAAAAUACUCAUACGAAGUUAAAAAAAUGUACAAGAGGAAAGAGUUUGAAAAAGAAAAGCAUAUAGUAUUAUAUUCUAAACAAUAAUGGGAAAUUUCUUGUAAUUUUGUUUUUGGAGUAUAUAGUUGAAAAGGUUGAAAAAGUUAAAACAAAGCACAAUUAUAUCUGUGUUCAGAGACUAUAGACUUAUAUCUUGGCUGCUUUUAAGAAGUCGAUAACAAAUUAAAUAAUUAAUUGUCGAAAAAAAACAAAUUAAAUAAUUAAUUACUUGUAUAAAACAAAUUAAAUAAAAGUUAGCUUUCAUGGUUUUGGAUAAGCAAUACUAUUAGCUAGCACAUAAUUAAAUAGAUAGAAGAGUGUAAAUUUGUUCCGUGUAAGAAUGAAUUUAAAACUGCAGACAAAUGGGACAUUUUGUUCAUCACUUUCACACACAUUAGAGUGUAAAAUCAUAUUUUUGGGCUCUCUAAUGAAAUUUAGAGACUAUAGUUUACAAUAUCAUUUGCAUGCGGCGACGUGAAAAAAGAGUACUUCACUAAUCCGAAGAGGCAAAGAUGAAAUGAUAUAUCACGUAGAAAUUUUCAUUCUAUGUGUAUGAAGGAAACUAAAAAAUGCAUGUCCUAUAUCAAAUAUACAAUGAACCAUGUGUUCAUUAUGUCUUCAUUUGGGCCAACUCUAUUAUAUAUAUUUUCUGCUACAAUAACUCUAUUAAAUAUUAACACCCUAAAAUGAUAAUCAGAGUUAGAACAUUUAUCUAUUAAUUUAUAAUAUAUAAUUUCUAAUAGUUGUUUAUUAAAAAAAAGAACGAUUCAGCAUCAAAACGAGCAUUGAUGUGCUCAUCUUUAUGCUUUUAUCAAUAAAUAGAAUAGUUGUAUAAUUUUAGCUAAUUAUUUAAAAACAUAAGUUAUUUGAUUGAUAAAGAAUAAUAAAACAGAAAAAGUUAAAGGGAUGGUUAAUUUUUUUUUGGAAAAGUAUAGAGAUUAUCACACCAAAAAGAUGAGCAAAAAGUAGUAUUUUUUUAUCACACCAGAAAAUAUCACACCAAAAAGAAAAUCAUCACACCAAAAAUUAUCACACCAAAAAGUAAUUCUGUUAUAUAGAAGUAUAGCGAUUUAGAAAAUUUGAUUAUAUAUCCAAUAAAGAAUAUUGAUUAACUUGUGGAUAAAAUAUAUAAAUGGUAUAGUUCAAAAAGAAAUAGUCACACUAAACUUCUGUCAAAAAAGGAAGUCACACUUAAUCCUAACAUGAUGCAUCCAUACUUCUAUACUUCGAAAGAUCUCACUAAAGAAGCGUCCAACUUGAUAGGUCUUUUAGAAUUGUAUAAGCAAAAUAUUGAGAAAAUGGUUACCAUGUCGUCGUCAUUCCGGAGUUUGAUCUGGGUGGACUAGUUCCAUUUGAGUCGGUCGAUGGACAACGAUACUCAACAUUCUCCACCAUCCUUGCAUCUCUUUGGUUGUCCACGAUAAAUUUGAUCCAACUGAUGCUUCAUGUCAGACUAAUGUGACAUCAACCUGAACCCUAAACAAAUUAGGUUUUCAAAUGUUGUAGUAAACCCCAGAUAACUUGGUGUUUAUAUAUUAUAUAUAAGUGUUAUUGUUCUAAGAUGUGGUGUUCUAAGAUGUGGUUUACAGAAAAUGAACAAAAUGCACCAUGUAGCUCAAACUUUCAUAGAUUUCCUUCCUCACGUCAUACCAGAGACUGGUAGGGGUCCGGAGGUGGAGGAUCCAUGGUAGUACGUACCAGGAUACGUGUCCGAAUUGUAUCAUGUAUUUUAUCCGAAGAUUCUUCCUCUAUCGAGCGAGAACCCCCUAGGACGAUGAAUUAGGAGAUAAUUAUUAAGGAGGGACAUGUUAGGAAUACUAAGGAUUCACUGUAGAUCAUCAUUAGUGUCAAGGCCAUUGUGGUGGAUGGUUUGCAAAAUGGUCGGACAUAUGAAGACCUACGUGUUUUACACAAAUGGGCGAGUUGGUGUUUUGUUCUGGUAUAUGACCAGAACGCAGUUAACUACCGCUAGUUUGUGCGAGUGAUAGUUAACUAGCGUUAGCUUGACAAGAUGAUAUUAACUUAUGUUGGGGGUUGAAAACGUCAGUCUGGGGUGCCUAAGAACAACCCCAAAGUGUCUAAAGAGCAAUCUCCUUCAUUCACGUAGUUCAAAAUGCUUAAAUUUGGAUUAAUGUUUAGAGCCCGUAUAGCAAGUAGACCAGAUCAAUUUGGCCUAUUUAUUAAUGCACGCUAAUUUACUAAUAUGAAGCAUAUCGGGUCAACCUAUAUGACAACUCUAUUUAAAACGUCUCUACAAAUUUGAUAAUUUUUAUUUAUAGAGAAUAUACUCAUAUUUAACAUUUAUCUUAUACCCUUUAUUCUUUUUCCAUUUUAUUUUUAUUAACUUCCUACAUAUUAUUUUUAUCCCUUUCAAUAUUUUUGGUAAACCAAGCUUAUUCAAAAAGUGGUUUUCUACACCUCCGUUCUAUUCUUUUUAUCUUUAGUCUUCAUCAAGUUUACUUUUGAUUUUUGUACAUGCAUUUUUUUCCCUACCUAUAUUAUAUUGUUUUAGACUUAAAGUAUACUUUUCACAUGACAAGUAGCAAAAUCCCAUAAAAUCCCAUAGAUAUCCCAUAGUAUUAAAAACUUUUUUUGUUGAGAGCAAACAUGUCAAGUAUUAUAGCAGCUAUUGUUCACACAAUCAAAAGUAAUGUGAAACUAUUUGGUUAGUUAAUUAAUAAAGAGAGCAUUUGCAUUGCUUCAUUGUGUGGCUAUAAUAGCUUCCAACUUCACUGUGUGGCUAUUUUGCAUUGCUUCCAAAAAUAAUCCGUAGAAUGUGUCAAUAUGGUAGAAUGACAUAUUGACAUACAAUAGAAUAAACUUGUUUUCUUACUCUAAAAGGAUAAAAUUGUCUUAUUCCAUUGAGCAAAAAGAAGAAAAUAAUGUUGUGCAUUAAUUUGAUGCAACACACACCACAAACUAGCAGGGGGACCAAUAUACGCACCGUGGUCACAAUGCUGCGCACAUCUAGAUAUGUAUGAAUUUGUACAUUAUUGAUUAGCCUAUCUAGAAAUCAUAUUUGACAAUUUUUAUUGGAUGGAAGACGUAUUUAAUGAUAUUAUCAUCACAUACUUUGGAUAUUUGAAAUAUUUUAUAAUGAAAGAAGAAUUUCUAAAAGAUAUGUGGUUUGAGAAGCAAAGGAAAUACUACAAACCAAUAGAAACUUAGAUAUAGAUUUCCUAAGAUAUUGACCUUUAGUUUUGCUCGAUGAAAACCAACUAUAAAUAGCCAUAUAACCUAAUUUGAUAACCAUCCUCAACAUUGCCAAUUGAGCUUCAUUUGUUUACUUAGUAAGGAAUAAAAUACUAAAAUGGCGGCUUCAACAAUGUCUCUCUCUUCUUCAUCAUUUGUAGGGAAGGCAAUCAAGCUUUCCCCAUCCACCCAAGACAUUGGGGUGGGAAGAGUCACAAUGAGGAAAGCAACCACCAAGAAGUCUGUUCCUUCUGGAAGUCCUUGGUACGGUCCAGACCGUGUCAAGUACUUGGGCCCAUUCUCCGGUGAAGCCCCAUCCUACCUCACCGGUGAAUUUCCUGGUGACUACGGUUGGGACACUGCUGGACUUUCUGCUGACCCAGAGACAUUUGCCAAAAACCGUGAACUCGAGGUCAUCCACAGUAGAUGGGCUAUGUUGGGUGCCUUGGGAUGUGUCUUCCCUGAGCUCUUAUCUCGCAAUGGUGUCAAAUUCGGCGAGGCUGUAUGGUUCAAGGCAGGAUCCCAAAUUUUUAGUGAGGGUGGGCUUGACUACUUGGGUAACCCAAGUCUAGUCCAUGCACAAAGCAUCCUUGCUAUAUGGGCUGUCCAAGUUAUCUUAAUGGGUGCUGUUGAGGGUUACCGUAUUGCUGGUGGACCUCUCGGUGAGGUGGUUGACCCACUCUACCCAGGUGGCAGCUUUGACCCCUUGGGCCUUGCCGAAGAUCCCGAGGCUUUUGCAGAGUUGAAGGUGAAAGAACUAAAAAAUGGUAGGUUAGCUAUGUUCUCUAUGUUUGGAUUUUUCGUUCAAGCCAUUGUGACUGGAAAGGGACCUAUCGAGAACCUCGCCGACCACCUUGCUGACCCGGUUAACAACAAUGCUUGGGCCUACGCCACAAACUUUGCCCCCGGAAAAUAAGCAAUAACUACACCAAAUGAGAAGUGAAUGACUUGAAUAUCGAAGUUUGAAUUUGUUAGUGUGUUAUAUUUUGUAAAACGCAUGGCAUGUUACAUCUUUUUUUCCCCUAAGUUUGUACAUAUUAAGUGAAUGAAAUGAAUGGUUUUACCGAAACAAGGGAGAGUGAAAUGACUGUGAAUGGUAUCAAGCAAUCUAUUACCAGAACAUCAAGUGUAACGAUGUCCUUUCAAAAAAAAAUAAAAAAAAAUCAAGUGUAACGAUGUUUUAAACCAGUGAAGUUUUUAUCAUAUUAACUUUUCAUAUUUUAUAAUUAUAUUUUAUUUUAAAGAGGAGCCUACACAACGGUAAAAGUUGAUUAAAAAUGUCACGAGUUCAAGUUCUGAAAAUAGUCUCUUGUGUAAAAAUAGAAUAAGACUGUGUGCAAUACACCAGAUGGUGAGACCCUUUCUCGGACUCUACGUAUGUGGUUGCCUUGUGCACCAGACUGUUUCUUUGUUUGCUACAAUUAUAUUUUAUUUUGUUAACCUUUUACAUGCCAUAUAUCUUUAGCUCAAUAUGAGAUCUUGUAAUGCCGUUUGAGCUGAAUUAUGGUUUCCCCGUAUGGAAAUCACCCAAGAUCUAAAUCAUAGCAAGUAGGAAUUUGAGAUGGACUCCAAAGUUGAUAUUGAUAUGGUUAAUUUAAAUCCUACCGAAUUGCUUUUAUUCAACAUUUCCUACAUGAGAUCGUUGCUAUUCUGAACCUCCCUUCAAGGAGAAGUUUCAUCUGUUAUAUUUAUAAAGAAACAAAUAAAUAUGUAGAUCUCCUAUGCUAAUAAGAGGCACACUACAAGAGUUGGUGUACAUUAUGUUUUUCUCAUGCUCAGAUUUUGAUGUAGACAAGUUGGCAGCGCGAAUCGAAGACGAAGUGGCGCGUAAGAAAGGUUUAGUCGGAUUGGUGCUGAUUUAGCAUCCGACGUCGGAAUAACAUGAAUUAAACCUUUUUGAAAAGCCCCGGACCUCACGAGCAAUACUCAUCGCUUUGUCAUGAUGUAGGAGUUAAUUUAAUCAUUCGAGGUCGUCUGAAGGCCCGAAAACCGCGUUUUAAUACUUCAGCAUAUUCUAGAACUUUAUAUUUUAUUUCGUUUUGUUAUUUUUCAGCAUAUACGGGUUUGUUAUUUCAUUUAGUAUUUAAACAGAACUUAUGUAGCCAAAGAGGCACUUUUCAUUCAAUAAAAAUAUUCGAGACUUUUCUCUCAAUUCUGGUGGAUUUUGGAAACUCUUAUUUGAUAGGUUUAUCGCUUACAACCUGUUGUUAUCUUUUAAGUUUAGCGUUUGCUAACCCUUGCUUCCAUUUUGCGUCAGAUUUUUGUUACUAUAUGAUGCCAAAGGUGGCUGUAUCUCUAAUAAGCUUUCGUAGUUUAAUUUCCUUUCCUAUCAAAUAAUAAAAAAUGUAACGAUCACCAAUAAACCAUGAAUGAAUAGAGCAAUUCUUGCUUGGGCACAACCACAAAUAUAAAUAAUUUAGACACACACAUAAAAAAAAACAGACACCCACACACACGCGCAUAUAUAUAUAUCAUUGAUUAUUUUCAAAAAUAUAUUAUUUUAUUGAUUUUUCUUUUAUAUGUUUUCACUUAUGUGUGUCCAAAUCAAAAUGAUAUGGGGUUAUGAUGGGUAUUUGUAUUGGCUGCAUUAUUGCUAAUACAAAUAUCCAUGUUUGUGAUGUUCGAUACUAUGUUCCAAUAUGUAUAUUAAUAAUUCUAAUAAUAUGCAAUAAAAGUAAUGUAUAUUAAAAAAUUACAUUGUACUAAUAUGUAUAUUCUAUGAUUGUUUCAUCUCCUAUUUGAUUACACAACCCAAUUAUCACAAUCUUCAUAGCAGAAAAGACAGUUUAAGUGAAUUGAGUACCAGAAGCUCGUCAUGAUCAAGAGAGCGUUGAGUGUACAUGCAAAUUAUCCACCGACAAGGUUCUUACAUUGGCAACAUAAGUUAAACUUAGGUUCUUAUGGUUUGUGAAUCAACUCCUAGACCAAUCGACAUCGACAAUUUUUUUAGUCGUUUAGAAUCAUAUAAAUUUUCAAUUUAAUUUGAUUAGUAAAAAAUAAAUAAUUGUAUGUAUAAGCAAUGACAUAUUAUUAUUUAAAUUUUAAAGCAUGCUUACCAAAUAAAUAUAAAAAAGAUCAUGCAUAUUUGUAACAACUUUCCAAAGAUACAAUCAAAUGAUGUGUUAGUCUACUGGAUAUAUUACUUUUAAGGGUUAAAUAUGUUUUUAGUCUCUAUAAAUAUACCAACUUUUCCUUUUAGUCAUUCUAAAAUUUUCGUUCAACUUUUAGUCCCUAUAAAAUUUUCAAUCACUACUUAUAGUCCCUAUUUUUAAAUUAAUUUUAGUAUUUUUUAAUGAAAUUGUGCAGAAAUGUGUAGAAUAUUGUAAAAAUAUUUCCCAAAAAAAUUAGAAUUUUUUAACGAAACAUAAAUUUAAUAUGAAUUUUUAACCAUCAAAAAUAUAAAAAUUCAUAAUAAAUUCAUGUUUUGUUGAAAAAUUCUAAAUUUUUUUAGGAGAGAUACUUAAAAUAUUAUGAAUUUUUCUGCAAACUUUUAUUCAAAAAUGUGAAUUCUACAUAUGAAUUUACUUUAAAAGAGGGACCACAAGUGAAGAUGGAAAAUUUUUGGAGGACUAAAAGUUGAAGGAAAAUUUUAGAGGGACUAAAACGAAAAGUUGGUAUAUUUAUAGGGACCAAAAACAUAUUUAACCUUACUUUUAAUAAUGACAUGGGGGAUCCCUUUCAUUUUUGUUCUAAUAAUAGUAACAAUAAUAUGUUAUAAUAGCAGAAAAAACAAAAACAAAGUAACAUUGCACCACGUUUUGACGGUAGAUUGAAAAUGCAGGUUCAAAGAGAAAUAUUGAGAAAUCACUUGAACCCCCUCACACAAGAGUGGCUUCGCCACUGAUCACAGUGGCUGUGAUUGGUUGUAGGAUAGUGAGAUGAGAUCUUAGAUCUAGAAGUUCUUAGGUUGAAAUCAAUACGGGUAGGUCCUAGGUCUUAAGUGUAAACGAGGAUUUUGCUGAGAGCUUUAGAAUAAGAACUACACUAGUGGAUUACUUUCCUAACUUGGUAGCCCCAGAUGUAGGUGAGUUGUGCCGAACUGAGUUAACAAACUCUUCUUUACUUUCUUGUCUUUUAUUUUGCUGUUUUGUUUAUGUUUACUUCUAGCACGAUGUUGGAACAUUAAACGGAACAUGUGCUUUCUGUGCAUCUCGAGUUGAAACUUCACAUAGAACAACUUCUAACUGACACGCUAAAUAUUCAGCAUCCGUUAUAUUUGCCGGGAAUUUCAAGUUAUGACCAAACAAGUCUUACUCGAAUGAAUAAGGAUCACACCAAUCAGAAAAAUAAUAUAAUAAAGACAAACAACAAUUAAGACAAAAAAAAGACAAACAACAAUAUCUUAAUAAAAUUAGAUGUUGAUAUUAUGCUAUUUGAAGGACGAGUUUGAACUUUAUUUUAGAAAAUGUGGAAGGUCCAGUAAAUAAAUAUAUCAUGAAAGGUGGAUAUAAAAUAUCUCUGUGAGCUUGAUUCUCUUGGUAGUGAUAUUAUAUAUUAUAUGCAGAGUCAUCGAACCUCGGACACCCUGGUCACUUCUCCACAUUUAAAAUGUAUGAGCUCCGGUCACUAUACUAUUUGACAAAAAAAAAUAAUGCUUGAAAAAUUUAUUAGAAUGUUUACCACUUCAGCCCACAUUAAGUUCAAUCUAGUUAACCAAAAAAAUAUAAAUAUUCUUGAAGCAUGUUAAAAUCAUGUGAUACAAAUCAAUUUGAUUAUAUCAAGAUGAUGUUGAGAUAAUUUAUAUUAACACGACUCGCCUAUUAGCAAAAAUAUUUUGGUUUCGAUUUAUACAAUCGUCCAUUUGAGAGAUGGUUCGACUCUCAAGACAAAAAGUAAGAUAGCUUGCAACGAACUUGGUAAGUAGUCAUGUAGCGCUUUCAAAUGCGGGUGGUAUCCAUUGGAGAGCCAAAUACUUUUGUUAUAGUAACAUCACUGCGGAUUUUAUUAGUCAUAUACAUGGAUUUAAUUAUUUAUCUUGUUAUUUUUAAACAUAUAAUAAGAUCAGUUUAUUUAAAUUUAUUUCUUUAUCUCAUUAUUUUCAUUUUUAUUUUACAAGACAUAUUUCACAAUGCACUAAAGCAAAAUCUCAAUAUACUUUUUCACAUUGCAUGCAUUGCAACUAAAUUUUUGCACAUGAUAAAAAAAUAGAGUGAAACUACUUGAUUAGUUAGCUAAAACAAGAGAGCAUCUAUUGAAUGUUUUAUUUUGCAUUUCUUCCCACAUCCUUUUGUGUCCAUUUUGCAUUGCUUCCAAAAAUAAACGGUAAAAUAUGGUAUAAUGACAUAAUUUUAGGAUAAAUGUUUUUUUAUCUAUUGAGCCAAAGAAAAAAGAAAUAUUCUUUGUCCUUUUGAUGCAACACAAAUUAACUAGCAAUGGUACCAAUAUGCACUAUGGUCCCUCUUCUUCAACUCAUGAUUUUAUACCGUUAUGUAUGAAUUUGUACAUUAUUGAUUAGCCUAUCCAGAAAUCUAAUUUGACAAAUUUUAUUGGAUGGAAGACGUAUUUAAUGAUAUUAUCAUUACAUACUUUGGAUAUUUGAUAUAUUUUAUAAUGAAAGAAAAUAAUAUCUUAAAGAUAUGUGGUUUGAGAAAUAAAGGAAAUACUACAAACCAAUAGAAACUUAGAUAUGGAUUUCACAAGAUAUAGACCUUUAGUUUUACUCGAUGAUAACCAAAUAUAAAUAGCCAUAUAACCAAAUUUGAUAACCAUUCUCAACAUUGCCAAUUGAGCUUCAUUACUUUACUUAGUAAGCAAAAAAAUACCACAAUGGCUGCUUCAACAAUGUCCCUCUCUUCUUCAUCAUUUGUCGGGAAGGCAAUCAAACUUUCCCCAUCCACUCAAGACAUUGGGGUGGGAAGAGUCACAAUGAGGAAAACAACCACCAAGAAGUCCGUUCCGUCUGGAAGCCCAUGGUACGGUCCAGACCGUGUGAAGUACUUGGGCCCAUUCUCCGGUGAAGCCCCAUCCUACCUCACAGGUGAAUUCCCUGGUGACUACGGUUGGGACACUGCUGGACUUUCUGCUGACCCAGAGACAUUUGCCAAGAACCGUGAACUCGAGGUCAUCCACAGUAGAUGGGCUAUGUUGGGUGCCUUGGGAUGUGUCUUCCCUGAGCUCUUAUCUCGCAAUGGUGUACAAUUCGGUGAGGCCGUGUGGUUCAAGGCAGGAUCCCAAAUCUUUAGUGAGGGUGGACUUGACUACUUGGGUAACCCAAGUCUAGUCCAUGCACAAAGCAUCCUUGCUAUAUGGGCAGUCCAAGUUAUCUUAAUGGGCGCCGUGGAGGGUUACCGUAUUGCUGGUGGACCUCUAGGCGAGGUAGUCGAUCCACUCUACCCAGGUGGCAGCUUUGACCCCUUGGGCCUUGCCGAAGAUCCCGAGGCUUUUGCAGAGUUGAAGGUGAAAGAACUAAAAAAUGGUAGGUUAGCUAUGUUCUCUAUGUUUGGAUUCUUCGUUCAGGCCAUUGUCACCGGAAAGGGACCUAUUGAGAACCUCGCUGACCACCUUGCUGAUCCAGUUAACAACAAUGCUUGGGCCUAUGCCACAAACUUUGCCCCUGGAAAAUAAGCAAUAACUACACCAAAUGAGAAGUAGUGAAUGACUUGAAUAUCAAACUUUGAAUUUGUUAUUGUGUUAUAUGUUGAAAAACGUAUGGCGCAUUACAU
RNAcentral lists this long non-coding RNA (19993 nucleotides) under Medicago truncatula (barrel medic). RNAcentral's name for it is "long non-coding RNA (MTRU_LNC003825)". The record is from RNAcentral. Lineage: Eukaryota; Viridiplantae; Streptophyta; Magnoliopsida; Fabales; Fabaceae.